Molecule: ribosomal RNA, 406 nt
Filed under: uncultured bacterium
Lineage: Bacteria
Description: partial 16S ribosomal RNA
Rfam family: Bacterial small subunit ribosomal RNA
Source: RNAcentral
AUUGAACGCUGGCGGCAGGCCUAACACAUGCAAGUCGAGCGCGCGGCGGACGGGUGUGUAAUGUCUGGGAAACUGCCCGAGGGAGGGGGAUAACUACUGGAAAAGGUAGCUCAUACCGCAUACCAUCAGAUGUGCCCAGAUGGGAUUAGGUAGGAGUGGGGGUAACGGCUCACCUAGGCGACGCCCCCUAGCUGGUCUGAGAGGAUGACCAGCCACACUGGAACUGAGACACGGUCCAGAGUCCUACGUGAGGCAGCAGGGGGGAAUAUUGCACAAUGUGCGCAAGCCUGAUGCAGCCAUGCCGCGUGUGUGAAGAAGGCCUUCGGGUUGUAAAGCACUUUCAGCGGGGAGGCGUUACCCGCAGAAGAAGCACCGGCUAACUCCGUGCCAGCAGCCGCGGUAAUUC